This is a long non-coding RNA of Oncorhynchus keta (chum salmon), 820 nucleotides long. RefSeq lists it as uncharacterized. The record is from RefSeq and is a predicted model, not a curated record. Lineage: Eukaryota; Metazoa; Chordata; Actinopteri; Salmoniformes; Salmonidae. The transcript has 3 exons.
UGGGCGGCAGGUAGCCUAGUGGUUAGAGGAGGCAGGUAGCCUAGUGGUUAGAGGAGGCAGGUAGCCUAGUGGUUAGAGGAGGCAGGUAGCCUAGUGGUUAGAGGAGGCAGGUAGCCUAGUGGUUAGAGGAGGCAGGUAGCCUAGUGGUUAGAGGAGGCAGGUAGCCUAGUGGUUAGAGGAGGCAGGUAGCCUAGUGGUUAGAGGAGGCAGGUAGCCUAGUGGUUAGAGGAGGCAGGUAGCCUAGUGGUUAGAGGAGGCAGGUAGCCUAGUGGUUAGAGGAGGCAGGUAGCCUAGUGGUUAGAGGAGGCAGGUAGCCUAGUGGUUAGAGGAGGCAGGUAGCCUAGUGGUUAGAGGAGGCAGGUAGCCUUGUGGUUAGAGGAGGCAGGUAGCCUUGUGGUUAGAGGAGGCAGGUAGCCUAGUGGUUAGAGGAGGCAGGUAGCCUAGUGGUUAGAGGAGGCAGGUAGCCUAGUGGUUAGAGGAGGCAGGUAGCCUAGUGGUUAGAGGAGGCAGGUAGCCUAGUGGUUAGAGGAGGCAGGUAGCCUAGUGGUUAGAGGAGGCAGGUAGCCUAGUGGUUAGAGGAGGCAGGUAGCCUAGUGGUUAGAGGAGGCAGGUAGCCUUGUGGUUAGAGGAGGCAGGUAGCCUAGUGGUUAGAGGAGGCAGGUAGCCUAGUGGUUAGAGGAGGCAGGUAGCCUAGUGGUUAGAGGAGGCAGGUAGCCUAGUGGUUAGAGGAGGCAGGUAGCCUAGUGGUUAGAGGAGGCAGGUAGCCUAGUGGUUAGAGGAGGCAGGUAGCCUCGUGGUAAGAGGAGGCAGGUAGCCUCGU